This 497-nucleotide ribosomal RNA is filed under the name uncultured bacterium. Its description in RNAcentral is "partial 16S ribosomal RNA". It matches the Rfam family "Bacterial small subunit ribosomal RNA", at positions 28 to 507 of the family's 1533-position model. The record is from RNAcentral.
GAUGAACGCUGGCGGCGUGCCUAAUACAUGCAAGUCGAGCGAACAGACGAGGAUCUUGCUCCUCUGACGUUAGCGACGGACGGGUGAGUAACACGUGGAUACCCUACCUAUAAGACUGAGAUAACUUCGGGAAACCGGAGCUAAUACCGGAUAAUAUAUUGAACCGCAUGGUUCAAUAGUGAAAGACGGUUUUGCUGUCACUUAUAGAUGGAUCCGCGCCGCAUUAGCUAGUUGGUAAGGUAACGGCUUACCAAGGCAACGAUGCGUAGCCGACCUGAGAGGGUGAUCGGCCACACUGGAACUGAGACACGGUCCAGACUCCUACGGGAGGCAGCAGUAGGGAAUCUUCCGCAAUGGGCGAAAGCUUGACGGAGCAACGCCGCGUGAGUGAUGAAGGUCUUCGGAUCGUAAAACUCUGUUAUUAGGGAAGAACAAAUGUGUAAGUAACUAUGCACGUCUUGACGGUACCUAAUCAGAAAGCCACGGCUAACUACGUG